Molecule: ribosomal RNA, 468 nt
Filed under: uncultured bacterium
Lineage: Bacteria
Description: partial 16S ribosomal RNA
Rfam family: Bacterial small subunit ribosomal RNA
Source: RNAcentral
UACUAACUCUUUCUUCGUGCUUAACACAUGCAAGUCGAACGGAAAGGCCCUGCUUUUGUGGGGUGCUCGAGUGGCAAACGGGUGAGUAACACGUGAGUAACCUGCCCUUGACUUUGGGAUAACUUCAGGAAACUGGGGCUAAUACCGGAUAGGAGCUCCUGCUGCAUGGUGGGGGUUGGAAAGUUUCGGCGGUUGGGGAUGGACUCGCGGCUUAUCAGCUUGUUGGUGGGGUAGUGGCUUACCAAGGCUUUGACGGGUAGCCGGCCUGAGAGGGUGACCGGCCACAUUGGGACUGAGAUACGGCCCAGACUCCUACGGGAGGCAGCAGUGGGGAAUAUUGCACAAUGGGCGGAAGCCUGAUGCAGCAACGCCGCGUGCGGGAUGACGGCCUUCGGGUUGUAAACCGCUUUCGCCUGUGACGAAGCGUGAGUGACGGUAAUGGGUAAAGAAGCACCGGCUAACUACGUG